Molecule: non-coding RNA, 2131 nt
Organism: Erythranthe guttata (spotted monkey flower)
Lineage: Eukaryota; Viridiplantae; Streptophyta; Magnoliopsida; Lamiales; Phrymaceae
Source: RefSeq, a predicted model, not a curated record
UGCCUUAAUUGGAGAAGUUAGGCAUUCACUAAUUAUGAAUGCAAGAGGCCGGUUAAAGUAGUUUAACAUUUAAUAUAAUAGUGUAGCCUAGAUUAUUUUACAUUUAUGCAAUGAAAAACUAGGUUCAUUUUAGGUUCACAUCUUAUUAAUUAAUUGUAAUAAAUAUGCAUUCAAAUUCACCCUUUGUUUUAGUAAUGAACCUAUUUGAAUAAUUAGAGUUCACUCCUCAACACAAAAUUCCUACUCCAAGAAUCUCAAACUCUUUGUAAACUUGUUCGAUUCUUUUAGCGAGUUGAAAGACUCUUAUAAUUUUUUGUGGAGUCGAAAAAUGGCUACCAUUGCUUGUGCAUCUUCAACUAUUUUGAUCUUCAAUAAUAGUAAAGAAUCAAGAAACGGGCGUUCGUUCUUUCAAGUCGGCUCAGCUGGUUUCGAGUCUAAGGGGUUCAUUCCAUUUUCAGCAAAAUGUCGAAAAAUUAAGGCCAUGGCUCCUCCGACAGUUUCUGCACCGAAGAGAGAAACGGAUCCAAAGAAAAGAGUCGUCAUAACCGGAAUGGGACUUGUUUCGGUUUUUGGAAGCGAUGUCGAUGCAUAUUACAAUCAACUCCUUGAUGGUGUAAGUGGAAUCACUCCAAUAGAUAGAUUUGAUGUUUCAGAUUAUUCUGUUAGGUUCGCAGGGCAAAUCCGUAAUUUCUCCUCCGAGGGAUACAUUGAUGGGAAAAGCGAUCGCCGCCUAGAUGACUGCUGGAGAUAUUGCUUGGUUGCUGGCCUAAAAGCCCUCGAUGAUGCUAGCCUUGGGAAACGAGUGCUCGAUAAUAUGGACAAGACCAGAAUGGGGGUGUUGGUAGGGUCGGCCAUGGGAGGCGUUACAGCUUUUAGCGGCGGAAUCGAAGCCCUAGUUCGAAAGGGACACAAAAAAGUAUCUCCGUUCUUCAUUCCUUACUCAAUCACCAACAUGGGGUCCGCAUUGCUUGCUAUAGAAACGGGCUUUAUGGGGCCCGUUUACUCCAUCUCAACGGCUUGUGCCACCGCAAACCACUGCCUAUGUGCCGCCGCAAAUCACAUCAGAAGAGGCGAUGCUGAUGUCAUGGUUGCUGGUGGGGCCGAAUCCGGCGUUAAUCCAGUUGGCGUUGGAGGUUUUAUAGCUUGCAGAGCGUUGUCUCAAAGAAACGAUGAACCGCAUAAGGCGUCUAGGCCGUGGGACAAGAACCGUGAUGGUUUUGUUAUCGGUGAAGGCGCCGGUGUACUAAUCAUGGAAAGUUUGGAGCAUGCAAUGAAGAGAGGAGCCAAAAUAGUUGCCGAAUUCUUGGGAGGUGCCGCCACUUGUGACGCUCAUCAUUUGACAACUCCUCGUUUAGACGGGCUCGGUGUUUCGUCUUGCAUAAUCAAGGCCUUGUAUGAUGCAGGAGUGUCCCCUGAAGAGGUUAAUUAUGUAAAUGCUCAUGCAACAUCUACACCUGCUGGAGAUUUGGCUGAAAUCAAUGCCAUCAAGAACGUCUUCAAAAAUACCUCUGAGAUAAAAAUGAAUGGCACCAAGUCGAUGACUGGGCAUGGGCUCGGAGCUGCCGGGGGAUUGGAAGCGAUAGCAACCAUUAAAGCAAUCAACACCGGCUGGUUACAUCCAACAAUCAACCAAUAUGAUUUGGAGCCAGCUGUGACUAUCGACACUGUCCCGAAUGUAAAGAAACAACAUCAAGUAAAUGUUGCCAUAUCUAACUCGUUUGGCUUCGGCGGGCAUAAUUCAGUUGUCGUCUUUGCACCCUUCAAGCCUUAAAUGAUUCGGUCAUACGAUUUCAAGGAAAGUGCACUUGCGUGAUGGUAUUUUCUUGAUAGAAGCGUCGAGAAUUCUAGAGCCCACCAUUAUGCAAGGUACCUGUGCCUCCGGAUCCAAACAUCCCCGUUGUUUUUCUGCGUUUUAUCGUCUUCUCCGACGAUGGGGGCGAUUAGGGCUUUGGCGGUGGUGGCGAUUAGAACUUUGACUGGAGUUUAGUAAUUUGCAAAAGAAGAUUCGGCUGGUGUGGAACUGUCAAGGAGAAGUUGGUAGUGGAGAAGACGAGAUGAGCAGAGGAGGCGGGUGGUGGAAGGAAAGGCGGCGGCGGUGUGAAUGAUUGCCGGAGGUGGUGUUCUGAGUUUG